Molecule: non-coding RNA, 211 nt
Organism: Pelobates cultripes (western spadefoot toad)
Lineage: Eukaryota; Metazoa; Chordata; Amphibia; Anura; Pelobatidae
Source: the annotation of a GenBank genome assembly
AUUACUCUCAGUAGAUGGAGUUACUGUGUGGGUAUAGUUAUUACUCUCGGUACAUGGAGUUACUGUGUGGGUAUAGUUAUUACUCUCGGUACAUGGAGUUACCGUGUGGGUAUAGUUAUUACUCUCAGUAGAUGGAGUUACCGUGUGGGUAUAGUUAUUACUCUCAGUAGAUGGAGUUACUGUGAGGGUAUAGUUAUUACUCUCAGUAGAU